AAAAAAUAUGUACAAAAAAUAUGUACAAAAAAUAUGUACAAAAAAUAUGUACAAAAAAUAUGUACAAAAAUAUAUAUACAAAAAUAUAUAUACAAACCUUUAAACGCAUAUUCCGCUGUAUCUAUAAACUAAACAUUACGAUUUCUUUUAACACGUCUUAUUUAUCACAUCAUGUUAUGCUAUACCAUGUUGCAUUUUUUUUUUUUUUUUUUCUUUUUUUUAAGAUGACGAAGCUUUAAUAUUAAAAAAUAUAUUCCUACUAUUAUACGAAAGUUUAGAAUAUUUAGACAUAACUAACUUUACCAAUAUAAAUGACAAGAACUGUAUUUUUGAAUUGAUAAAAUUUUUUAUUGAAUUAAUAAAGAAACCAUUAUUGCACUCAGUACAUAUACUAUGUAUAAACUAUUUAAUACAAAUAAUAAAAAAAUGUUAUGAUUAUAGACUUUGUUAUAAUAUUAAUGUAGAACUAUAUGAUAUAGGACCAUGUGUUAAUAUUUUUGUUAAAGUUGUUAACUUGAUUUUUGCUAAGCUUUUAUGCGUUUUCAAAGAUAUAAAAAAUGAAGAACAUAUUUAUUCUAUUGAUGAAAUAAAUAAUAUUAACAAUUUAGUCAUGUUAUUUUUUGUAAAUGUCAUAAACAACUUUGUUCGUAUACUUAUACCUCAAGUGCUUUUUAACGAAAAACUGAAACAUGACUAUUUAACUUGCAACGAAAUGGAAAAUACAAAAAAAAUAAAAAAUAAGUACGAGGAAAUAUCUUUUGAAGAUAAAAUUGUCCUAAACACAUGUAAUCCCAUAUUUUCGUUUAUAGAAAUAUUAAUUAUCAACAACCAUGAAAGAUACGAAAAGGCUUUUUAUGUCGACUUAAUAAAAACAUUGAUCAACGAAUGUAGAAAAAUAGAAAGACAGUACAAUAUUAUGAAAAUAAUACAUGAUGAAUAUAUAUUAUUUAUUAAAGGAGAUGAUUAUAAAAAAAAACAAAACUUAUAUAUUGAUAGAAAUUAUUUGAAAAUAAAAAAAUUGAGUAAACAAAGAUUGGAAUCAACGGCAUCAUUUCAUGUGUCAGAUGAGUAUAGUUCUUCUGCUUAUUCAGAGACUGAAGAAGAGGAAGAGGAAGAGGAAGAGGAAGAGGAAGAGGAAGAGGAAGAGGAAGAGAAAGAGGAAGAGGAAGAGAAAGAGGAAGAGAAAGAAGAAGAAGCAAAAGAGGAGGAGAAGGAGGAGGAAAAGGAAAGGGGAAAAGAGACAAAAGAUGCAAAAGAUGCAAAAGAUAGAAAAGAAAAAAAUGAAAAGGGAGAAGAGACAAAAGAUGCAAAAGAUAGAAAAGAAAAAAAUGAAAAGGGAGAAGAGACAAAAGAUGCAGGUGAAGGUAAAGAUGGUCAUAAAAACAACGACAGCGCUAAGGCAAAUAAUGAAGAAACGAAUAAUGAGCAGUCUAGUGGCACCGCUCCAAACAUACAGGAGGAUGAUAUAGAUGGAUCUAAAAAAAAAGAAAAGAAAAACAAACUUAUAACUAAUAUAGACCAAAUAAGAAAUAAAAGAAGAUCAAUAUUAUUAGUCGAUCAUAAAAAAUAUUCUCUUAUUUACCAAUCUGUUAUAGUUAGAUAUUUAAAUUUUUUAUUGAAAUAUAUAAAUUGUGAAAAAUAUCAAAUUCGUAUAAUGAUAUUGGAUUUAUUUUUAGAAUUAAUAAAAAAAAAAAAAAACAAAUAAAAAUGAAUUUCUUUUUCAAAAUUUAUUUAAAUUAUUUUUAGAACGAUUAGAGGAUCCUAAUAUGAUUGUUAAAGCAAAAGCUUUAUCUAUUUUGGUUACAUUAACAAAUCGUAAAUACCUUGAUAAUAAUCUUAUAUAUAAUUUUAUAUUUAACAAAACCAUACAAAAAAUAAAUAUGUAUAAAAUAAUAGUAACA
This 1901-nucleotide long non-coding RNA is filed under the name Piliocolobus tephrosceles (Ugandan red Colobus). RNAcentral describes it as "lncRNA (ENSPTEG00000012389.1)". The record is from RNAcentral. Lineage: Eukaryota; Metazoa; Chordata; Mammalia; Primates; Cercopithecidae.